CCGGCACGGGUGAGUAACACGUAUCCAACCUGCCGUCUACUCUUGGCCAGCCUUCUGAAAGGAAGAUUAAUCCAGGAUGGCAUCAUGAGUUCACAUGUCCGCAUGAUUAAAGGUAUUUUCCGGUAGACGAUGGGAUGCGUUCCAUUAGAUAGUAGGCGGGGUAACGGCCCACCUAGUCAACGAUGGAUAGGGGUUCUGAGAGGAAGGUCCCCCACAUUGGAACUGAGACACGGUCCAA
This 238-nucleotide ribosomal RNA is filed under the name uncultured bacterium. Its description in RNAcentral is "partial 16S ribosomal RNA". It matches the Rfam family "Bacterial small subunit ribosomal RNA", at positions 100 to 334 of the family's 1533-position model. The record is from RNAcentral.